UACAGAGGUCCCAAGCGUUGUUCGGAUUCACUGGGCGUAAAGGGUGUGUAGGCGGUUUUUUAAGUUUGGUGUGAAAUCUCCCGGCUCAACUGGGAGGGUGCGCCGAAUACUGAAAGACUAGAGUGCGGGAGAGGAAAGUGGAAUUCCUGGUGUAGCGGUGAAAUGCGUAGAUAUCAGGAGGAACACCGGUGGUGUAGACGGCUUUCUGGACCGUAACUGACGCUGAGACACGAAAGCGUGGGUAGCAAACAGG
This 253-nucleotide ribosomal RNA is filed under the name uncultured bacterium. RNAcentral describes it as "partial 16S ribosomal RNA". It matches the Rfam family "Bacterial small subunit ribosomal RNA", at positions 524 to 776 of the family's 1533-position model. The record is from RNAcentral.